This 473-nucleotide ribosomal RNA is filed under the name uncultured bacterium. RNAcentral describes it as "bacterial SSU rRNA". It matches the Rfam family "Bacterial small subunit ribosomal RNA", at positions 28 to 474 of the family's 1533-position model. The record is from RNAcentral.
GACGAACGCNGGCGGCGUGCUUAACACAUGCAAGUCGAACGGAGCGAAUGAAAGCUUGCUUUUAUAAGCUUAGUGGCAAACGGGUGAGUAACACGUAGACAACCUGCCGACAGGAUGGGGACAACAUACCGAAAGGAAUGCUAAUACCGAAUGAAGUGCAGGGGAGGCAUCUCCCCUGCAUGAAAGAUGGCCUCUUUUUAUGCUAUCACCUGUUGAUGGGUCUGCGUCUGAUUAGCUGGUAGGUGAGGUAACGGCUCACCUAGGCGACGAUCAGUAGCCGGUCUGAGAGGAUGAACGGCCACAUUGGGACUGAGACACGGCCCAGACUCCUACGGGAGGCAGCAGUGGGGAAUCUUCCGCAAUGGGCGCAAGCCUGACGGAGCAACGCCGCGUGAGUGAAGAAGGUCUUCGGAUCGUAAAGCUCUGUUGAUGGGGACGAACGUGCCUAAUGCGAAUAGUAUUAGGUAANGACG